RNAcentral lists this ribosomal RNA (482 nucleotides) under uncultured bacterium. RNAcentral describes it as "partial 16S ribosomal RNA". It matches the Rfam family "Bacterial small subunit ribosomal RNA", at positions 30 to 507 of the family's 1533-position model. The record is from RNAcentral.
AUUGAACGCUGGCGGCAUGCUUUACACAUGCAAGUCGAACGGUAACAGGCCGCAAGGUGCUGACGAGUGGCGCACGGGUGAGUAAUGCAUCGGAACGUGCCCAGUCGUGGGGGAUAACUACUCGAAAGAGUAGCUAAUACCGCAUACGAUCUAUGGAUGAAAGCGGGGGACCGUAAGGCCUCGCGCGAUUGGAGCGGCCGAUGUCAGAUUAGGUAGUUGGUGGGGUAAAGGCUCACCAAGCCAACGAUCUGUAGCUGGUCUGAGAGGACGACCAGCCACACUGGGACUGAGACACGGCCCAGACUCCUACGGGAGGCAGCAGUGGGGAAUUUUGGACAAUGGGCGCAAGCCUGAUCCAGCAAUGCCGCGUGCAGGAAGAAGGCCUUCGGGUUGUAAACUGCUUUUGUACGGAACGAAACGGCUCUGGUUAAUACCCGGGGCUAAUGACGGUACCGUAAGAAUAAGCACCGGCUAACUACGCG